GGAGCCCGCGCGCGGAUCCGGUUGCGAGGAUAAUUAAAAAUUUACACACAGUUGGAAGAAAUCAUAGAGAAGCCAGGCGUGGUGGCUCAUGCCUAUAAUCCCAGCACUUUGGGAGGGCAAGGUGGGCAGAUCACUUGAGGUCAGGAGUUCGAGAUCAGCCUGGUGCCUUGGCAUCUCCCAAUGGGGUGGCUUUGCUCUGGGCUCCUGUUCCCUGUGAGCUGCCUGGUCCUGCUGCAGGUGGCAAGCUCUGGGAACAUGAAGGUCCUGCAGGAGCCCACCUGCGUCUCCGACUACUUGAGCAUCUCUACUUGCGAGUGGAAGAUGAAUGGUCCCACCAAUUGCAGCACCGAGCUCCGCCUGUUGUACCAGCUGGUUUUUCUGCUCUCCGAAACCCACACGUGUGUCCCCGAGAACAAUGGAGGCGCGGGGUGCGUGUGCCACCUGCUCAUGGAUGACAUGGUCAGUGCAGACAACUAUACGCUGGACCUGUGGGCUGGGCAGCAGCUGCUGUGGAAGGGCUCCUUCAAGCCCAGCGAGCAUGGUGAGCAGGACGGAGUGCGGCAGGGGUGGGUGGGUGUGUUCCCACAGCUGCCUGGGCUGAGGGUGGGUGG
RNAcentral lists this small RNA (611 nucleotides) under Pongo abelii (Sumatran orangutan). RNAcentral describes it as "retained intron". Lineage: Eukaryota; Metazoa; Chordata; Mammalia; Primates; Hominidae. The record is from RNAcentral.